Long non-coding RNA from Cephus cinctus (wheat stem sawfly), 1555 nucleotides. RefSeq lists it as uncharacterized. The record is from RefSeq and is a predicted model, not a curated record. Lineage: Eukaryota; Metazoa; Arthropoda; Insecta; Hymenoptera; Cephidae. The transcript has 3 exons.
AGUCAACAAUUCCGACGCGAGUGCGCCGAAUACAUUAUUUCAUUCGCUUUACGCUUCGGCUGCUCCUUCAAUCUCUUGUUCUUCCUGUUGCGCCAUGUUUUUUUACUCUUCCUGCUGCACUCUAGUCGCUAUUGACUUCAGGCGUACAGAGAGAUUGAAAUAGUAGGACCUGGAUUAACCAUCCGACCUCACAGUUUCUCUUCUUUUGAUUCUUGAAGAGGUCCUCCACUCUAGGCUUUUCAUAUAGCUGCAUGGAGUUACAUAAUUGAAACGUAUAACGGAUAAUGAUAUCGACUUGUUGUUCAUCCGAAAUAUCAACCUAAUUAGACGAUAUUAUUCCAAGGACUAGUGGAACCGAUUAUGUAAUGAAAUGCAAACAGUCUUCUUAUCGUUGUGUGUAAAUAUAUUAGUUUUUUUUUUUUUUUUUCACUAAAGCCCAACUAAUUAUCUCUAAAUGUCUGUACACGAUAAAAAUGUAUAAUCUGAAGGUCUCGUUUAUAUUAACAGGUUAAGUGCGGCGCCGAUUUUGCUGUCCUUUCCGUUCGACUGGCAGCGAACGAGCGAAGCUUAUCGUCAAUACCCGCAAAUCAACGCCGCCCGAACUAACCCUGGGGACUGACGCCGGCCGCACGCUAAGUUCACUGUCAGUAACCAUGGACUGACGUCGCGCUCAACGUGUUAAUUAGUCAUAGGAAGAGGACUCUUCGAAAACACGUUUCAGUUGUCGGCAGAUUAUACGUUACGUUUCAAUUGUCCUUGGAGAAUAUUUUUUAGAUCAUUCAAGUGUAAUGACGUUUGUUUCACGGAGAAAUUAAUAUUUGAUCAAAAUUGGAAACUGUUUGUUAUAAACUUCUAUGUGGUUCCAUGAAAUUUCUACAGGUUUUUCAUCGAUGUUAAUAUUAACAUCACGGGAAGUUACUCGAGAAUUAUUAAUAUCAGGACACCCUUACUUUUUUUAGACUGUGAGAUUUUUAUAAUAUAUUAAUGAUAUAGGGUUUACAUUUUCAAUCCAUUCUUCAUCUUCUUCUGGAACUACUUCGCUCCAUGAGGGUAAAAUCUGUUAGACAGUACAUCGUGUUACAUUAUCUAUGGAAGGACUCUGUAUCCACUGAAUAAUUGAAAGCAUUACCACUACGUAUUCAUAGAUGGCGCCACAUAUUCUAUCUAAGAAACACUGCCGCCAAGAGUAUCCAGCACAAGUGAAAUUCAAAUUAAGCACGUCGUAAGAGGAUACUUUUUAACAGAGAUCAUUCAACGAUGUCUGCGUGACAAUAUCAGAACCUAAAAAAGAAAGUGCAAAAAUACGCUCCUUAUAAAGUUCUAAUUGCGAAGAAUCGCUGGAGGCAACGGCACUGACGAACAUAGAUAUUGUAAAAGUUCUGUCUCACCUGAAAAUAUGUCUGAAAGUUUUCUACAGGUCAGCCUGCAGCAGUUUUAAAUUUCUUGCUACAGUGGCGUCUAUUCUGUGUACAUGACGCCCGUCCACGACUACCGUAGCAUAAUCGUUCCGCAUUUCACAACUAAAAAGUUCAAACAAACAUUGCUUCUGCGGAUA